ACUCCUACGGGAGGCAGCAGUGGGGAAUCUUGGACAAUGGGCGCAAGCCUGAUCCAGCCAUGCCGCGUGAGUGAUGAAGGCCCUAGGGUCGUAAAAGCUCUUUCGCCAGGGAUGAUAAUGACAGUACCUGGUAAAGAAACCCCGGCUAACUCCGUGCCAGCAGCCGCGGUAAUACGGAGGGGUUAGCGUUGUUCGGAAUUACUGGGCGUAAAGCGCGCGUAGGCGGACUGGAAAAGUUGGGGGUGAAAUCCCGGGGGCUCAACCCCGGAACUGCCUCCAAAACUCCCAGUCUUGAGUUCGAGAGAGGUGAGUGGAAUUCCGAGUGUAGAGGUGAAAUUCGUAGAUAUUCGGAGGAACACCAGUGGCGAAGGCGGCUCACUGGCUCGAUACUGACGCUGAGGUGCGAAAGUGUGGGGGAGCAAACAGGAUUAGAUACCCUGGUAGGAUAGCG
Molecule: ribosomal RNA, 451 nt
Filed under: uncultured bacterium
Lineage: Bacteria
Description: bacterial SSU rRNA
Rfam family: Bacterial small subunit ribosomal RNA
Source: RNAcentral